CUCAAGUGACACAGCCAGUAGCCCAAUUCCAGGCAUGGCCCAGGGAGUUAGGGAAAAAAAAAGCCCUUUCAUGUACACACUUCUAUGUUCUUUCCUCUUCAGAUAAUGCAACUUUGGAAGCCAUACAACGGAGCUGCAAGAUGGAAGGAGGCUGGGCCUUCAAUCACUCUUUGGAGAAGAGCUACCCCACUCUUUAGGUGUGCCAUUGAGAAUUAGUGUAAGUGACAAACUUCUAUUGUAUUUGUGCUAUCAUACAUUUGGGGGUUUACUUUUAUAGCAUUAAUUAAUUUAGAAAGCACACGUUAUGUACAGCAUCUGGCAUGUGUUGUCUGUCACGUGGUAAGGUUCGAUAAAUAAGAGCACUCUUCUGCCUGAGAACAGCAUUUUUUUAUCAGAUUGGAUGAAGAGUCAAUAUCACACUUGCUAAUGCUGUAUUUCUGUCAUCUGUGUGUGUGAACCUCAAUUCCCCAAUAAAUCAAGCAGAGGUAGCAAUACAACUUCCUCACUAGAAUUAUUGAGAAAUAAGUAAAUAUUAAGCAGAAGGUGGAAGUACAUGUUUAAGAAAGAAUAUUCCAGAAAUACCAGAUGAUGCCAGGCAGGACAGGGAAGACGGAAGUAAACUGGAAACAAUCUUUCUUGAAAGCAACACAAGUAGUCAGACUGUUAUCAGACAAGGAGGCCAGAAGUAAUUUUCCCUUAGAAGUAUGUGUUAGUCAGCUUUUCACUGAUGUGACCAAAAUACCCAACAAAAACAACUUAGAGGAGGAAAAGUGUAUUUUGUCUCAUGGUUUCAGAGGUUUGGUCGGUGGUGGGCCAACUCCAUUGCUCUAGGCCAAAGGUGAGGCAGAACAUCAUGGUGGAAGGGCGUGGAAGGGGAGCACUGCUCUACCUGUGGCAGCCAGGAAGCAGAGAAAGAAGGAGGAGCCCGGGAGACAAGGAAGAUGUAAUCCCUGCGGGCAUGCCCCCUGGUGACCCACCUCCUUCAGUCACAUUCCACCUGCCUCCAGUUACCACCCAGUUAGUCUUUUCAAAUUAUUAAUCUAUCAAGUGGGUUAAUCCACUGAUUAGGUGACAGCUCUCAUAACAUACUCAUUUCACCUCCUGCAUUUACAGAGGAGAUUUUUUUUAGGGGAUACCUGAUAUCCAAACCAUAACAAAGUUCUUUUGUGAAGUGUGCUCACAGCUAUGCAUGAGAAAUGUACAUUCAGUCAUUCCAUAAAGAUGGGCCUUUGUCCAUGAAGUGCAGUCUCAGGGCAGGCUUAGGACCAGAGGACGUGGGACUGCAUGGCACAGUCCAAAUGUCCAAACCUAGCAUUUUAUUAGAUACAAGGGCUCAGGGGAGUGAGGAAUAGCACUUCCCCUGCUGACCAUACUGUGUGAUGGGAAGAUGUGGCAUCUCUGUAUUCACUGCUAUACCCCCCACCCCACCCCACCGCCUCUGGUGCCUCUGAUACCUCUGGUAUCUUGCUUUUUGCCUGUCUUUGACACUUCCCCCCGACUUGUCUCAUGAGGCUACACCCACACAGACCCUAGAGUAGGUUCUGUGAUCUGUGGACCCAGAGAGUUCUGAGAGCUAGUUAGGGUGGCAGUCAUUCUCAUCCAUGGGGAUAGUCUGACUCCUGUCCCAGCACCCAAGGAGCUCAGGGACAGGCAUCUGAGAACUGGAAUCCAACUGGGGCAAAUGACAGUAAAGCAAUAUUUCAGGCCAGGCCUAGGAACAGGGUUUGAGGUAGAACAGGCUCUGAAGGGGCACCGAGAGGUGGAGUACUCUCUACUUGAGAAGACAGAGGGUGCCAGACAUGAGAUACAGGAAGAGGAAGGAAGAGUCAAUGUUGAGGUUGAGGAUGGGAAGAAUCUGCCUAUGGUAAAGAACUGGGAUGAGGAGUGGGGGGCAAUGGUUGGGUAACAUGAAUGGGGCCAGAUUCUGGAGGAUCCUGAAUGCCAGGCCGAGAAGGCCUGUGUCAGACAAGACUCCACAGGGAACUCACCCCACGCUGGUCAACCCAUCCUGCCAGGCCCUUCCCCCGGGGUGGCUGGUGUAGGCCUCCUGGCCCCAUCUGCUCGGCACAUCUUUCACUUCAGCUUAGCUCAGCACAUCUCCUUGUUCCUCCCCGACUCCUCCUGGCUUAAGCCAUUCCUCCAGGCAGAGAGGCAUCUGGGGUCUAGGUCACCUCUCUGCUGCUGCUUCCCCACAGAACAAGGCCUCUCCCACUGCGAGUCCUCCAGACAGGGCCUGCCACUCCCUCUGCAUCUCUCCAACCGAUUGGACCAGCCCAUCACACACUUAAGACUUCCCCUUCCAGUGGCUGUGUUCAGUUUUAACCAGGAGAAUUCAGAGCUACCUAGUCCAUACCUCCUUGUUCUAGCUCCCUUCUGCUUGACCACCUUGCUUUUGUUACCCAAAGUCAGUCUCUCUCUCUCUCUCUCUCUCUCUCUCUUUACAAAUGGCUUUGCAGCAGACCUGGGAGUGCACAGCAGCACCAAUAAUGUCUCCAUGGUUCCUUGUUAGCUGCACUCUAAGCAGGAAAGUGACUAGGCCUGACAAUAUAAUUUACAUUGCUGUAUAAAACUAUCUGUGGAAGCCAAGCUAAUUUGUGCCAGAUUAGGCUAUUUGUCUCAGCCACUGUCUAGCAGCACAAUCUAUCAGAGGGCUGUUUUCAAAUAUCGCUUUUCAAGCGUGCCCUUGAGAGGCAGAAAUUGAUUGGGAUCUUAGAGAGCAAAAUUACAGCAAUAACUUAAAAGAAACAAUAAUUACUGAAUCAUACCAGUGUCAGCACUCUGCAAAACACGAAAUAGCCAUCAAACCCCAAUCCAAUAUAUUCUGAAGCGAAUUUAUUGAAUGGAAAAAGCAGUUGAGUGAGGGUUUUUCUCCCCCCUCCUCCCCUUCCCCUGUACAUAUGGUUAUCUCAAAACCGCAAGUGAAUGAGUCGAUAAUUCUUGUCAUUGACUGCUCCAUUUUCACGGAGUCAGAGGAGAUCCAUUAGCUGCCUCCUGCUGCACCGUCUCCCUCUCUCCUCUCUCCUUCUCUCCAUCGCCUCUAUUCAUUUGCUAGUCUCUGCUCUUCAAGCAAACAAACAUGUAUAACUAAUCAUCUGUUAAAAUGCAGAGGGCCCCUAAUAAAUCUCUGCAGCUGAAAUACUUUAAUGGGUAAUUAAUUGAUCCUGUUCCAGAGGAGUAAUAAGAUAAUAAAUUAGACAAUAUUUCACUCAGUCGUGUCAGGCUCCUAGCUAAUGGCGCUGUAGGGCUAAGCUGAAGGAUAAUAAAUUAGCCAGAAAUUAACUGCUAAGAGCUUUCUGCAGAGAAAUCGGCUGACAAGUGAGUCACACGCGUGAUUCAGGGCCUGACUGGUGUUGUGGCGGAUCUCUGUGAAUAUGAACUUGCGCUUUGGGAGGGGGCCCCAUGGGGCGCUCCCAGCUGGGCUCUGGUAGGAUUCUGUUCCCAGGCUGAGAGAGUCUGUUGGGUAAUACCCAGAGCUUGUGAAACUGGCUAGGGCCCUUGCCUUGCACACCAAACGGGUUCCUGGGAGCCAUGAGCUCUUGAAAAUAGCUUCCCCCAAGCCAUCAGAUUCACUGAAUUUUUAUGGGUCUCACCCACUCUGACCAGUAGGGCUACUGAACACCUGUCGCCGCCAGGUUCCAUCUGUUGCUUCCCAAGCAAAUAUGCAAAUAAGGAAGGAUGGAGUCUUGGUAGAGGUGGAAAAGAGACUUGUGCCCUUGCAAAAAGGCUCUUGCAAAAGUUAAGCAGAAAAGUGAGCAGGAAGAAAGAGAGUGAAAUACAUUUUGUAGCAGGUAAGAGAUAUUUCUUACUAGUUCAGAUGGAGAAAAUCUCUUAGUUUUGUGGAGAAACUCAAGGAAGGUGAUAGCAAGUAUUAGGCAAGAAAAGACUUGGCCCUGGAAGGUCACGUGGGCCUUUGCUUGAGGGUAGAGGAAGCCAGCUUCUCCAUGGAGGCAGCUGGAGGGUAGCUGAGCAUGUGGUGAAACAUGGGGGGAUUAAAGAGAUUUGACUUCUUACUCUUUACUGGCUGUGUGACCUUGUGUAGGUUACUUACCUACCCUGAACUCUGGCUUGAUCCUCAGUAAAAGAGUGUUGAAUGAAUGACUCAAGAGAGGCUUGGAGUGUUGUGUCUCACUCAGAGCAGGUGCCAAUCUAGCAUUACUUAUUACAUGGAGUGCAGAGGGUAAGGUUAUUUAUAAGUGAGGGAGAUAGCAGAUAAAGAAAUGAGAGGGGGUGGUGGUAGGAGACAGUGGGUGAGCUUGAUCCUCUUUUUCUGGAAUAAGGACCAGAUUACUUGCACCCCACCAUAAAGAUGGUCCUAACUGGAUGUGCUCACCUUCUGGCAGACCAUCCCUCAUUGCUUCAUGGUAAAUAUGAGUCAAUUAAUCUUCCGCGUCACUAGUAGCAAUGGCAGUGUGGGUCGAAGGCAUCCAUAGAACUGGAUUAUUUAAAUGGGAUAAUGCAGAAUCAAAGAGAUUUAGAGACCAGAAAGGAGAAGAAAAACUCUAGACUGAUUCCCAGGUUUCUGGCUUGGGUGCCUGGUUGUAAUCCAUUCCACUUAGCAUCACCCAGAGUGGAACACUUGCCUUGCCUUCUGGCCACAGGGGCCAUUGAAAUUGUUUGCACUGAUCCUUGAAACCUGUCACUCACUCUUAUAGCCACCACUGCCUGAGGAUCCUGCUGCUUUGGCUUCACCGACUCAUCCUGUUCCUGAGUACAACAAAACAGUGCACCCCUCCCUUGUGCCACCUGCUUCCUGACCUUGGAGUUGUCUUGCUGCUGCUGGAGCAGGUAGCAAGCACUUUGACACCAGCUUGACACUCAUGUAUGUGCAUCCCUGGGGUCCAAGGGGGUUGAUGUCCUGGGAGAGGCAUAGUCUGACCAGUGGGUGGUGGCCACCAACAGAUAAAUUGUUCUCCUUUCUCCCUACUGGAUGAACUACUUGAAGAUGGGGUGGCUUCUAAUGACCUUUUGCAGAUAUCGUAUGACACAAAGGGAUCCAUUUCUCACAGGCCUGUGGCUGGCUCAUCGUGUGCUCCCUUCUACUUGCCCUCCCCACCUCUGUACCUCACCCCCUUCCCUAUUCCUGCUUCCUGGAGACUCACUCUCUAGUAAACACUAGCACUACAUACAUAUAUACACACACACAUACAUACUUACAUAAAGAAUUUAAGUGUGUAGUCAGUACCAGUUAUAUCACAUCAGCUUAUCAGCAGUGUGGUGUUGGCAUUCCUUGUCUGGUGACCAACCUGAGGCAGUGCUGGAAAGACAAGACCUUGCAUAGUCUCUGUUGGACUUCAGGGUGGCUGAAAACCACCUUGAGCAGCCCCUAUACUGCUCUCAUUCUGGGGGAGAUGCUGGGUCUCCUGGAGGAUCUUGACUAGAGGCCUGUAGCAGAACAGAUUCAGCCAGAACUGGGAACCAGAAACUGGAUUCUAACUGUGUAAAAGCAAAAGGGGUGGGUUGGGGGUGUGCUCAAUGUUUGAGUGCUUGCUUAGGGUAUACGAGGCCCUGGGUUCCAUCUGUAGCAACACACACACACACACACACACCUACCCACCCACCCACCCACCCACACACACACACGGAAGGAGAUUUCCAAGUAGAAAUGAUAAGAUCAGUACAGCUCAUAGCAAGGACCCAUUCACUGACAUAUCUUUUAAAAAUAAGUGUGUUUUCAUGUAUUUUAUUCCCUUAUGUGGAAUGUUUUCCUGGUCUCUCUCAGUCUAUUCUUGUGCUAUUUGCAUAUCUAGGCUCAGUUCUUUGUUCCUCAUGACCUCAGGAUUGGAAGAGAGGUUGAGGGCACCAUGCCUAACCUCAGCCCCUGAUAGAGCAGAAACAGGUGGCUGAGCCUGGAGGCCCAUUUUUGUGUGUCUGAAUCGUUAGAAAAUAGUUUCAAAGAUCCUCUCCGUGCCCUGUACAGAAGCACAUGGUAAAUUUACUUUCCUUUUUUUUAGAUAAUUGAUGACCAUGAUAUGACCCCUAAGCCUUCUCCUUUUUUCAGACUAAAUCUGCCUAGCUCCUUUAACCAUUAUGUGUGUACCAUUUCCCCUUCUUUUUAUUGUGAAGUAUAGCAUAUGCAAAGAAAAUAACCCAGACCACCAAGUACAGCUUGGUUGAUAAUACAAAGUGAUACCCAUGAAGGGAAAAGACACUGGUAGCUUUUUCUGGUGGUACUACCUGAAUCAGACCUCCCCACUCCUUCCAGAAUAUGUGCCACCUGACUUCUGUGCAAAUCAUUCAUUGCUUUUCAUAAAUUCUAUAAUUUAUGUACAGAUAUACUUCUGAGGUAUUGUGAGUUUGGUUCAAGACCAUUGCAAUAAAGUGACUAUCUCAAUAAAGCAAGUCAUAUGAUAUUUUGAUUUCCUAAUACAGAUAAAAAUAUCUUUACAUUCUACUAUAAUCUAUUAAGUGUUCAGUGAUAUUAUGUCUAAAAAAGCAAUGAACAAACUUGAUUAAAAUACUGUAUUUGUAAAAAAUGCUAAUAAUCAUUUAGGCUGAUGAAAAGAUAAUGCCAUUAGAUUUGCUGGAAGCAGGGUUGCCACAAACCUUUGAUUUGGUAAAAAACAAAACCCCCCAAAACAAAACAAAACAAAACAAAAAAACACUGGAAUUAUCUGUGAAGUGCAAUAAAGGGCAAUCAUUCCCAAAUCAUAUGGUUUAGCUUUGCCAGUUUUAAGUCUUCUGAAUUGUUCUUUUUUGCCUUCUUUGUUCAACCCUACGUUAAUGAGUGCUAUGCUUUGGAUGUGUGCCCCCAAAGUCCAUGCAUUGGAACCUUAAUUCCACAAUGAGGCAGUGUUGGAGGAGGGGCCUGGUGGAAGGUGCUUGCACGUUGAGGGUGGAUCCCUCAUUAAUGGGUUAAUACUUUGCUUGUAGGAAUGGGUGAGCUAUUACAGGAAUAUCCCCCCUUUCUCUCUUUGACAUGUGCUCCCUUAUCCUUCUGUUUUCUAUCAUGAAUUGAUGUAGUAUGAGGCUCUCACAAGAUGUGGUUGCCAGAUUUUGGACUUCCUGCCUCCAAAACUAUAAGCUGAAAUAAAACUAUUUUAUUUAUGAAUUAUACAAUCUUAGGUAUUGUGUUAUAGCAACAAAAAUGAACUAAGGCAUGGGAUUCAUCCAUGUUUUUGCUUGUUGCUGUAAUUGUUUCUAUUGACACAUAAUGUUUUGUAUAUUUUAUAUGUGAACAAAGAUGCAAUUUUGUUGAUACAUGAUAAUUUAUUGAUUGUUUCACAAUAUGAAUGUACUAUAAUUUACAUAUGUGUUCUAUAACUGAUAUGCUUCAAAGAUGGUUCUAGCUUGGGGCCCUUAUGAUGGAUAUUGAUCUCCGUGAGUUGUGAAAUGUCAUGCAUUUCACUAGGGUACAUACCUAGCAGCAGAUUUUUGAAUCAUAGAGCCUGCUCAUCUCUCACAUUACCAAACUGGUGUACAAAAUGAUUGUAUUACAUUGCAAAUCAACAGAGUAUGCAAGUUCUUGUGGUAGAAUGAAGCUGUGCUACCCAGCUCUGCUCCUUCAGGACUUUGCCUCCUCUGAAGAUCUGUGAAGUUCAGAUCUUAGCCUUGCUCUUCCCUGAACAGACUGGAUUUGGUGACUGUGUGAAGCAAGAAAACAAAGGCUUGGCCAUUUUUGACCACGUGGCAGAUUCCAAUGGGUGAUACUCCCCCAGAGCAUUGUGUCUGGGCUUUAUCAUCAUCACACUUUAGCUCCUCUUCCUCUGUUCAUGGGAACUGAUCCCAAGAAACAUUUCCCGCACCAAACUCUAACUCAGAGUUUGCUUUCUGAGAUCCCAGUCUGCAACUGCUGCUGUGACUCUUCGCCCUUGUCAACAUUUGAUAUUAACAGAAUUUGACAAGUUGGUAGAUAUUUAAGGUUAGCUCAUUGUGGUUUUUUUCUUAAGUGAAAAUUAAAUCUUAAAUUUAGAAAUGUUAAAAAUUUUAAAUUAUUGAGAUAUAAUUUACAUACUAUAAAAUAUUCCCCCUUUUGACACAUAUAGUUUGGUGAGUCAUGACAGCUGUAUUUUGUCAUGCAGUCACCACCACCACCAAGAUACAGAACAUUUCCAUCAUCCCCCAAGUUCCCUUGUGACCCUUUACAGUCAAUCCCCACCCUAGCCCUGUUCUGCUUUAGGUCACUGUAGUUUUGUCUUUUCCAGAUGCCUAAUAAAUGGAUUCAUCCAGAAUAUAUUUUUCUGUGUCUGGCUUCUUCCAUUUACCAGAAUGCUUUUGAGAUUCAGUGCAUAAAUACAUCAUGGUUUACCCAUUUUCUCAUUGAUAAAGAUUGGACUAUUUCUAAUAUUUGGAAAAAUAAUAUGAAUCAAACUUCUAAGACAACUUAGUAUGAGUCCUUUAUGCAGAUAUAUGCUUUCACUUCUCUUGGAUAAAUAUGCAGGAGUAGCACUGUUGGGUUAUAGGAUAGGGGUAAUUUUAACUGUAAGAAACCACCAACUAACUUCCAUUUUACACUUUAUAUACAAACAGUUUAUGAGAGUUUUAGUUACUUCACAUCCUUGCCAACACACAGUUUAUUCAGUCUUUUAAUUCCUUAGCUAUUCUAGUGUGCUAGCUCAUAUUUUAGUUUAUAGUUAAAUGAUGCAAAAUCAUGACAAGUAACAUGGAG
RNAcentral lists this long non-coding RNA (8605 nucleotides) under Marmota monax (woodchuck). Lineage: Eukaryota; Metazoa; Chordata; Mammalia; Rodentia; Sciuridae. The record is from RNAcentral.